UCAAGAACCUUCCACAAUGGACGAAAGUCUGAUGGAGCGACGCCGCGUGAUUGAUGAAGUCCUUAGGGACGUAAAGAUCUUUUAUGAGGGAAGAAGUUUAUUGACUGUACCUCAUGAAUAAGGGGCUCCUAAUCUCGUGCCAGCAGGAGCGGUAAUACGAGAGCCCCAAGCGUUAUCCGGAAUUAUUGGGCGUAAAGGGUGCGUAGGUUGCGUUAUUAGUCUUUUGUCAAAUACCCAAGCUUAACUUGGG
Molecule: ribosomal RNA, 250 nt
Filed under: uncultured bacterium
Lineage: Bacteria
Description: partial 16S ribosomal RNA
Rfam family: Bacterial small subunit ribosomal RNA
Source: RNAcentral